UUUUAUUUUUGAAUUAGAACAACAACAUUUACAUGGAGAUGCAUUUGAGUUUCUUCUUCCCUUCUCCAGGGCAGUGUUUCCCUGAACAAAGUUCGAAUUUCCUUGUGGCCAUAAGAUCUAUCCAACUUAACCAAAUCACCAAUCAGUACAUAUAUUUCUGACAAGCUUUCUCUGUAUUCAUCUUAUCUGCUCUCUACUACAUUCUACAUUUUACUUUGAUCUAGCUAAAUAACUCACCCAAAAGACAAAAAUACAUAAAUAAAAAAAAUAAAAAUUAAUAAUAAUAAUUUUCACAUGAGAGUACUAUCUUUCUAACAUUUGUUUUAUUGGUUCCCAAAUUUUUUCAAAUUUCCCUAGUCCCAGUCAUAGUCUUGCAUUAUUUUGUUCCAUUUUGUAGACCUGUCUAACUCUGUCUCUCCACUGUGCCACCCUUGGGGGUUCUGUGUACAGCCAUAAAACUGUAAUACACUUCUUGGCAGUCAUAAGCAGAAUUCUGAUUACGUAUGUCUCCAUUAUGUGUGUAAGAUAGCAUUCCCAGUACAAACCAUUUUAACUUAAAUUGUAAUUUCACAUUCAAGGUUCUUUCAAUUUCUCCCUAACACCUUCCCAGAAUGGUAUGAAUUUAGGGCAGUCCAAAAGUAUAUGUGAAAAGUCUCCCACUAGCCCGCAUUUUCUCCAACAUAAAUUUGAAACAUUACUAUUUAGACAUGAUAAGUGGAGUUUUAAAACAUGCAUCUUCACCUUCCAUUCAAAUUCCCUCCAAGACGGACUAUUAGUUAGUUUAUGGCCUGCUUCAAGUGUUUCCUCCCAUUCCUCAUCUGUUAUCAUUAUGUUCACUUCCAGUUCCCAUUUUUCUUUAAUAUCUAUUUUCUUAACAAUCAAAUCCUGUUGUAAAGCUUUAUAUAUUUUGAAAUCAGUCCUUUUUGACAUGUCCUUUCUGUUUAACAUAAUCACUUCCUCCAUAUUAAGUUUAUCCUUGCUUCAAACUUUGCCUUAUUUUGAAAUAACUACUCUGUCUGUCUGUCCUAAAUAACAUAUUAAGCAUGAAAUUACGAAUUAUUGUGAAAUUACACGCACAGGAAGUGCAUUUAUUUUGUAGCAUUUGCUCAGUCAGCUCUCGAAGCUUCUCAGCAGACUGAGAAGAGCAAGGGUUGGAGGUGCAUUAACCGUCAGAGGUCGCGCUUCUGUUCUGCAUCUGCACUUGACAGUCACUGGUUCUGCACCACUGAGCUAAAUAUGUGUAAAUGUAGAGCAUCUGCGUUCCUAUGAGCUGUCAGCCACACCGGGAAGCCUGUCUAUGAAUCUGCAGUCAGACUUCAAUGAUCCAACCCCACUCUCUGCACACAAGAUUGAUGGCAUGCUGCUGUUGACCCCCAAGAGGUUCAUACAAGUGAGACCACUGGAAUUACAUGAUGUCCACACAAGGCGUACCACUGUUCUCCAUGCCCUUCCUGUCUAUCUACGUGAGGAAACCUCUGGGUUUUUGAGGACAUGUGUGGAUGAUACCAAUGAGCCGGACCUCAGGGAUGCAGCAGUUGUCCUCCUGACAACCAUCACAGAUGAUGCAGAGAGUCCAGUUACGUACGACCCAGUGAGAAUCUGUUAUCCUAGAGGGUGGUGUGAUUGUCAACAUCUCCAGGCUUCCUGAUGCCUUCCUGGUAAUGUUCGGCCUCAUCUAUGCCUUACAUCUAGAUUAUCCGAAGGGACUGACCAACACAUUUGAGUUCACGCAGAAAAUCUUACUUGGUCUUGAUGAGUCUAAACUGUCACCCAUGCUGCAGAGUCAAAAAUGACCUGAUGUUAGAUGUGUAACUCAAAAUCUGAAAGAGUGGUGGAUUCAGAUGGCUCACUCUGUUAGAGCAUUGUCCACAUCCACAAUGUAAUUUACUAUUUGUCUGCUCUUUAAUUGUUGAUGUUAAAGUAACACACCACCAUUUGGGCAAAUUAGUUCAUUUUCCACUUCUCCUUGAGUUAACCCUCCCACUGUCCUAAUGGGUAGGACCCCACGAGGAAAGUUGACCAUUGAGCAGGGUUGAUGGUUCAUCCCUUGGGUCCACGUGGCAGGGGUGAGGAGUGAGCACCACCUCCCCCCUCAGUGGCGGAGCUUGAUAUGUGCAACAUGUGCGGCCGAACAGGGCGGCAGUCUGUAGGGGGCGGCAUUUAAUUUUUUUUUUUUUUUUUUCUUCCAUCAACCGAUACAUCAACAAAACAUAGAAAUCACAUGUUCUUCAUAAUAAUAAUAGUGAUUAGUGAUGAUAAUAAUAAUAUUUCUGUAAUAAAAGCACAACAAAGUCAUUGUUUGCGUUUAUAUUGGGAUUUUAUUGCGCCCCCUUGUGUCCGCCGCGCCUCUGUAGUGCGCUCUAUAGCGCCCUUCAUCAGGUGGGGGGCGGAGGGAUCUCGGAGAGUGAUGAUGGAGGGAUACAGGUACCGUUUCACAUAUCACUGCUCACAAACAUAAUGGAGAAGAAGCGGUCGAAGCCAUCUGGUGCCCAAUUUUGGAAAAAAAGAAAAGAAGAGGAGGAGAAACGAGGAAAAGAUGCAGGUAUGCAUCUCUUUAUUAUUUAGUUGGUAUUUUUCCCGCCUGUCCCCCAACUUAUUGAUUACCUAACCUCUCUAAUCUGAACGUUUUGCAUGGUGCUAUGAUGAUCCCUUCAAAUGUCUUUUGCUAGCUUCUUAUGUUGCAUGCAUUUAGAACUACUUCCAACCGCUAGCUUUUUCUUUGUCACAUGAGCUUUUAUGAAAAGCUAAGAGUGGAAAACCGAAAGGCUGAUAACCAAACGCUAUCAAAUUAAAAUUAGUCUUUGAGUAUUUUGCUGAAAUACAUUGACGGCGGGCGGCAGGUCUCGCGCCGGCGCCAUUCGCCUUUCUAUUUGGACUCGGGAAAUGAGCUACGUAUUAUUUACCCCACGAAAAACGGAGCGGCAGCGGGCCGCUGGAGGUGCCCUGCUAGUAAGAUCCCGUUUAUACUGUAAACUGCCAUAACAUAAAAACUAUAAUAGCUAGAGCGGUCUUUUUUUAGCUGAAAGUUGAGACUGUCUCGCCUUUCAGCACUGUACAAGUCGAUGAUGUCAUCGUGUUGCGUUAAGUGUGCUGCACAGCACACCGCGGCUAUGUUAACUCACAGUGACCAAGAAGCAGCGUGGGAGAGUUGAAGAAUUUAACCAGUUAAAAUGGAUUCAUGGAUAUUUAAUCAAUAGUUGUGGCUCCUCUUGUCAUUUAGUUUUUUGUGUGCCGGAGACAUUUGCUGAAUAAGGAAAUAAAAACUUAAAAUGACAAAAAAAAUUAGGGAAAAACACUUGUUUUGUAUUUUAUCAAUUAUUAAUGAUUAAUAGAUUGUUGGUGUUUUAACUUUUGGUAAAGGAAAACACACAAUUUCCAGGCAGCCCCAGUCUGGAGAAGUGAUGGUGACAUCAGCCGUUAAAAAUAAAUAAUACUCUGAGGUUUUUAUUAAUAAUUUCUACUUUUACUUCAGUAUUUCUCUAACAGCAGUACUUUUACUUGUAAAUGAGUAAUAUUUUAGCAAUGUAACAGUACUUGUACUUGAGUACAGAUUUUCAGAAUUCUUUCCACUACUGCUGAAAACUGUAAAUGCUCAUUGUAACAUGUUAAUUAAAAUGCUUAAGCAACAGACGUGACAUGAAGAUUGUAUUGUUUGUUUUAUGCAACAUCAGGAGCCCUACGCAGAUAUUUUGGGAUGACAUCAGCUGCCACUGAGGAACAGCCAUCUACCUCCACUGCUCAUAGGCCAGUAUUUGAACUCGAGGAGGGAGAGUCUGCUGGCACCACAUCUCCCCAGGAAGAUACUUUAGAGAGACCUACCAGUCUAUGUGAACUUGAUGAGGGACAGCCAGCUACCACGUCUCCCCAACAAGAUACGUCAGAGAAGCCUGAACGAUCAACCAAUGAGUCCCAUUGAAGGUGAUGAUGAGCCUCUUUCUUCAGACCCAGCCAAGUGGCCAUCACCAAUUACCGACAGCAUACGCACAGAGCUAGUUCGAAGAGGACCUACCAAGGUGCCAACUACUUUCAUAUUUCCCAGGAAUGAAGGCGAUGGCGGGUGUUGUCAUCAUCACUAUUUCAGUAGAACUUUGACAAGUGGUGAGAAGGUGGCCAGGAGCUGGAUGUUGUAUUCAGUUAGCAAACUUUGUUAUAUAUAAUACACUCCACGCCAUUUGAAACAAAGUUGUAGGUGUAAUUUUUUUUUCUUGUGUGUGUGUGUGUGUGGGGGGUGUCACGGGGGAUCUCGCACAGGGCGCCAUUUAGGCCAGCUCCGCCUCUGUCCCCCCUGCCACGUGGACCUCAAGGGAUAAACUAUCAACGCUGCUCAAUGGUCAACUUUCCUCGCGGGGUCACCCAUAAAGACAGUGGGAGGAACAGGCAUGCUCAGUUGAAGUUUCCAUCUCUGCGCGUUCAAGAUGUAAGAAAAAUAACACGAAAGAAAUGCAACAAUGAAAACUUCAAAAAGGCAUCAACAACCAAGCAAGUGGAUCCAUAAAUUGGACUGAUUUUUUUAAAGGCAUUUUAAAAAAGUCUUUCAAAAUGGACAGAAUUAACGCGUCAUGUUCAGAACAGUUUGCGUUCUCAUCUUUGAUUAAUCCUGGUAAACAGGUCUGUUUUUGUUCUGUUCUAAUUCUUUCUGUUUAAUAAAUUUAAACAAAAUGACUUAGCUAUUUCAUUUACUUUUUUUUCUCUGCAUAAAGACGAAGUAUCAGUAAAUAGUGGAAAUUAAAUGUAUUGGUAGUAAGCAAAUAGCAGAUGUUAAAUGUUACUUGCAGUAUGUGUUUAUAGAAAAAAUAGAGAUACUUAAAUGUUCUAAAAGAAUAUUACGUCAAGUUUACUGUAAAGUGUACUUUCAAAACUGUAAGUAUACACAAUUAUAUAAGAAGUACACUACAAGUAAACAUAUAUUAUUACUUUAAGUAUAAUUUUAAGUAUACAUUCAAAGAGAAAAGUAUACUCAAUUAUUUCAGAAGUACACUACAAGUAAACUUAUAAUGCUAUUUAAAGUUUAUUUUUAAGUAUACUUUCAAGGCCAAAAGUUUACUCAAUUUUAUUAGAAGUAAACUUAUACUGUUACUUUUAAGUAUACUUUCAAUGAGAAAAGUAUACUCAACUAUAUCAGGAGUAUACUACAAGUAAACUUAUAUUGUUACUUUUAAGUAUACUUCCAAGGAGAAAAGUAUACUCAAUUAUAUCAGAAGUACACUACAAGUAAACUUAUAAGUAUACUUUCAAGGAGAAAAGUAUACUCAACUAUAUCAGGAGUACACUACAAGUAAACAUAUUCUUACUUUUAAGUAUACUUCCAAGGAGAAAAGUAUACUCAAUUAUAUCAGAAGUACACUACAAGUAAACUUAUAAGUAUACUUCCAAGGAGAAAAGUAUACUCAAUUAUAUCUGAAGUACACUCCAAGUACACUUGUGAGGUUACUUUAAGUAUACUUUCAAAGAGAAAAGUAUACUCAAUUAUAUCAGAAGUACACUACAAAUAAACUUAAAUUAUUACUUUGAAGUAUACUUGUAGUAUACUUCAAGUAUACUUUUAGUGGCCCAAUUUAGUCCCAAGGAGUAUACUUCUAAGUAAACUUUAAGAACAAGUAUGCAAAUAAACUUCUGUACACUUAAGUAUACUUGAAAUUAGAUACUUAAAGUAUACUUCUUUUUCGUAAGGGAUCUGAAGCUCAUUUGAGAGUCAUCAAGAAUGACUUACAAGGCAUUCAUUCCUUCUAGAGACCAAUGCAAAUGUAUUGAUUAACCAAGUCAACUGCUCCUUUAAAUCUAAACAUGGUGCGGUUAAUGAGAGACACAACUUCUACUCACAAAGGACGCCACUGAGAUUCAAUAAAGAGCAAAUUGUUGGUAAUUUUUUUUCUAAUUCAUAUAAAAUGCUGUCCAAAAAAUCCUAUUUGAAAUGUUUAUCAUGGAUAUUUUGUUAUAAAAUACAUAACAGCAGAGUUUUCUAGUAAAAAGUGUCCUUUCUCAGCAAAGCUUCUAAAAAGGCUCCUUUUUCUAAAUGUGAACCUCUGACAUAAUCAAAGGGCGUUAGAAGCUAGGCUGCCUCAGCUCAGUGUGGAAAGUGGCUAGCUUUAGGGUAGAGAGGUCAUGUGAUCCAGUCAGUGUGUGUGCUUACUAUUGUUGGAUUGUGUUCAUUUGGAUAAACUAGAGUGUGUGAAUGCUGUGUGUUUACUAUUGUUGGAUUGUGUUCAUUUGGAUAAACUAGAGUGUGUGAAGGCUGUACCAACUCCAGUGUGUCCGGACAUCGAGUCCACGGGUUUCCAGACAAGAGAAACAACGCCUCUAUCUCCAUGCCUGAGGGCGUUUUGUGCAGCUGAAAAGACGGACUUCUGUAGCCCGCAUCGGUCAUUACGGGGACAGGGAGGUCCAUGCUGGCUCCGUAGACCUGUAGUGGGUUUUAAAAAAUGAAAUGCAGAUUUAUGGAGCUCAGAUCACCAUCAGAACCAGGUCAGAACCGACCACCAGAAGACAUGAGUGGCUCAGUGGGCUAGCUGGUUUCCGGGUCGGAACCGGAUCAGAACCGCUGCCUGGACCACCAGGAGAGGAUCGAGUGCUGCUUUUAAAAAUACCAACUGGACUGGCUUGCUGGUGUUUGGGUCGGAUCCAGCUCACAGAAGCCCGCAUGAGCUCCAGAACCGGAAGCUCUCCCUCUCUCUAAAGCACUGAACUACUUUAGGUAAACGGAUAUUAACGAGUAUGAGACCGCUGACAGACGCUUGUUAGUAUUAAUAUUAUAUUAACUGACCAAUACUAUUUUAAUUGUCUGGUACACGAUAGUAAUCAGUACAAUAUCUUAAUGUUAGCACACAAGUUUAAGGUAACAUGGUUAACUCACCUGCUGCCGCCGCCGCCCCCGCUUCUCCUCCUUCUCUCUGCUAUGGAUGAUGGUUUCUCACUCUGGUUUGUCUCUGCCCUCUGGGUCGUGGAGCAAACUCAUAACUUUAUAGUUUUGGUCCAUCAGAAGUAUAAUUAUUAACAUUUAAAGUUUCCUCUGUGUCAAAGCCGCAUUAGAGUCCAUACUUUUCUCUGGAUUAAGCUAACAGGACUCCCUCAGCUGACGUCACUUGAAGUGGCAAAAAAAAAUCUCUCACAAAAAUGACUCUAAAAGCCAAAAUAAUUCAUGUAUGUGUAAAAAAAAAACUUUUAAAAUGAUUUUCUAUUAUGUUUCUCUAAACACUGGUUGAUGGAAGUCUCUAACCUGCUAUUUGCUCUUUAAACCUGCUCCUUGCUCAUCAGCAUUUACUUAGUUCUGCUGGUUCAACCCCAAUAUAACAGAUCGGACAUCUUUUUUGGCAUAAAACAAAUAAAACAAAAAAUUUUACUCAGCAUUCUUUUAAUGCUCUUAUGAUUUUUUCAUUUUUAAUCUUUCUUUUAAUGAUAAACAUAAUAUUUGUUCCUAUUGUGAGUUUAUGGUUGUGUUCAGCACCUUGGUUGUCUGAUAAGGUCGUAGAAGGUGCUUUAUAAAUAAACAAAUGAAUGAAUGAAAUAAACAAAUGAAUGAAUACCUCUGAGAGUCUGUUUUUUUGAAGAAUUCAGAUGUAUUGUUCUAUAAGCCAUAAUAUUAUAUUUGUUGGUUUUUCUAUUCUUAACACGUUUCUCAUCACGUAUAAUAAGUUGUUGAAGUCUUACUCUAAAAAUCUCGACCAUAUCAACUGUAUGAGGAAAGAGAAAGUCAUUUAGCGUCGUCUGACUGGCUACUAGAACACUGGGCUGCUGAUUCUGUGGCAAGUCCCAGAAAAAGUCAGCUUUCAUUCUGCAGUAAGCUCUCACAAUCAACAAGUGUAACCCAUGGCUCUUUACAGUUUAAAACAACACCAACACACACAUUUGGCCACCACCCUUUCAUUUCUCCACACAGUCCACAGGUGUUGGGAUCAUGAGGGUGUGGGAUGCAAAUGAAAGUUGGCGUAUCCAAUCGUUGCCUGACGUCAGGGUGCCACCCUUCAUGGCAGCUAGCCCGCUGACAGAGCGAGCCAUCUGGGCAGCGGGGAAUCUGCCAUAGGCCCAUCCAUUCCUGUGUCCUGCCCUCUGGGUCCACAGCCAGGGAAACAGACAGGGAGAGCUGGAGGGGAUCGGCGCUCCUCAACUGCUCGCCAGGCUGGAGUAUGUUUCCUAACAUUCUAGCAUUCAGUGGGGUCAAUAUUCUCCUCACUUUGCUUUAUUUAAGGCUUCAGAUUAGAUUUAUUCAUGCUGACUGGUCACAGAUAUUUUGGUUAUUGCAAACAUAAUAUCACGCUGUGAGUCGGUGGGAGGUUAGGACCCAAAAUGCAGACCCAGGAUGACACAAGACAGGAGUAGUGAAAACGUAAAAAUCCUUUAUUUAGGGGUAAAUCCAAAGGGCUGAAAGCCAAAAACCAAAAAUCCAAGAAUCAAAACCCUGGGAAUAUCCAAAAACACAAGAGACCUAGACAAAUUCCAAAUACCUAGAGAGGGGAUGAGCAAACGCUGACACAAACAAUGGACCAACAACCACAUUGAGAUGCAGACAUGGUUAUAUACACAAGGGCUGAUUAGGGGUGAUUAGGGAAUUGUGCACAGGUGAGACUAAUAAACAGAGGAGGAGCACAACGGAGCAGGGGAGAAAACCAGACCUAAAAAUGGGGAAGGGAGCAAAAUGAACUGGAAGACUAAUGAUAAAAGGUGUCUAAGGAAAAACGUAAGGGGAACCUAGAGGGCCUGGAGGGGGUUGGGGACACACAGGGACACUGAAACCUGGAGGGAACACCUAAGGGGAAAAAACCUGGAGUGGGCUGGGGAACACAAGGAGGCACAUGAGGAGCACAAGGAGACACGUGAGGGAAACCUAGAGAGGGAUGAAGAACACAAGGAGACACAUGAGGGAGAUGCAGGACGCAGACCAUGACACAUAAUUAUGAAUGCAAACAUAAUUUUACCAAAGCUAGAGUCACUAACUCUUAAUUUGUCUUCUCAAGAGAAGAACCUGUGUGUGAUUUUUGACUCUGAGCUAACUUUAUUCCCCACAUUAAGAACAUUACAAAAAUUGUUUUUUAUCACCUGAAAAACAUUGCCAGAGUCCGCCCCUUUCUCUCUCUGGCCAAUACAGAGACGCUGAUGCAUGCUUUUAUCACCAGUAGAAUUGAUUACUGUAAUGCCCUGAUAUCUGGUCUUCCCAAAAAGAGUACCUCAGGCUUACAACUCCUACAAAAUUCAGCAGUCCGUGUCCUGACGAAGACCAGGAGGUAGGAGCACAUUACACCACUCUUAAACAAGCUGCUUUGGCUUCCUGUAAGUUUCAGGAUUGAUUUUAAAGUUCUUUUAAUGGUUUUUAAAUGUCUUAAUGGUCUUGGGCCUUCUUAUCUCCCAGAACUGCUUCAUAAAUACGAAACGUUGCGGUCCCUGCACUCCUCUGGCAGCCAUCUCCUCAUCAUUCCAAAAGUCAGACACAUUCCCAAGGCGAGGCAUCCUUCCAGUUUAAUGGCCCUCGCCUCUGGAACAGUCUGCCAGAGGACCUCAGGGCCGUAGAGAGUGUUCUUGUUUUUAAGGCCAGGCUAAAGACUCACCUUUUUAGUAUAGCUUUUAAUUGAUUUUGAUCUAUUUUAGCCUGUUUUACCAUCUUUUAUAUAUUUUAUCAGUUUUCUUACUUACUCUUUUAAUUAAAUGGCAUAUAUUUUCUUUUGUAUUAAUUUUAACUUGUAAUAAUAAUUAGUUUUAACCAGUCUUAAUACUUUGUUGUACAAUAUUUUAUAAAUGUAAUUAUACAUUUCUACUUGGUCACCUUUUAUCACUGUUUUAUUUAAACUUUUAUUUAUCAGCUGUUUAUGUUUAAUUUGUUUCUCAACUGUUAUCUUAGUCUCAUUAGUAAACUAGUGUUUCCUCUGUGGGGGCCAGCUGCCCCGGGGAGCAGCAGUGGGCUGUGGCGGCCGGGGUGCUUUUCGUGCCUCCUCUUGCCCAGGCUGCUGCUGCCGAUCCUGGUGCAGUUGGCUCCUUUGAUGGCGUUUCCGUCUUCUUUGUGCCAACUACAUCUGCACUCAGCCAGCUGCCCUUUCUCUUUUACGUGUGUGUGUGUGUGUGUGUGUGUGAGUUUGCAUCUGCUUGGGAUGGGAUUGAGGGAGGGAGGAGUGAGAUACAAAGGGGAUCUCUUAUGUGAAUCUGUGUGGGAGGGGUGGGAAACCGACUGCUGUCUGGUUGUUUUUAAUAUUGUAAAGCGCUUUGAGCUGCAUUUGUAUGAAAAGUGCUUCAUAAAUAAAUUUGAUUUGAUAUGAUCACCAGAUGAUCAGAAGUCACUUGUCUGUACACUGUUUUACUUUACACACACACUUACACAUACACAUACACACAUACACACACACACACACACACACACACACACACACACACAUAUAAUUUCUCUGGUUUGCGGGGUUCUGUCUUGCCAUUGGUUGCCCGGGAGACAGCCUGAUCUCUGAAAUGGCAGUGAUGGCAAAGAGGCAAAACGUAAGAGAAUCCUUACAUCCUCUAGCUGGGUUAUUUUUGGUGGACAAAGCUCUUCACGGUCCUUCGUAAAAAAGAAAAAAAAAACAUAAUCAUUGCAAGUCUGAAACCAGAACUCAUGAGACUAGUGAAACCUUCCCUACAAAGUGUUUUCAAGAGAUGCUUCUCUUCAAGCAGUCCAGACAAUAAAUGUCCCCUAAAAUGGAUUUUGUUGACAUUUACUUAGAGCAAAACACUGACAUUUCUCAACCUCUAAAAGGUAUUGUUCUGUGGCCCCACAGCUGACAAACCAAUAAUUAAACCAAACAGCUUUUAUCCCUUUUAAACCAUUUAAAUGGGAUUCUAUCUGCUGAUUGCAACUUUGAUUUAGACACAAAUGUCAUUCUCUACAGUUUCUAGAGAAUAUGUUCCCAAAUCUUCUCUGGCCCUCAAACAAGAUUACCAGAGUUGUGAUCCCAGUUAUCUUUAACUGCAGGUAGUUCAGAAUGCUUGUGACCAAGUCCUCCAAAUACACCCACAUCACCCUGCUUCUCCAGCUUCACUGGCUGCCAGUCAACUUGAGGGUUAAUUUCAAGAUCCUGAUUCUGGUCUUUAGGGCCUUACAUCGCAUGUGUCAGACAUAAAGGCCUGGCCCGCGGAGCAUUUUUAUGUGGCCUGCGAGAUAAAUAUCAAAAACGUAUUAAAACUGACCCGCUGGCCAAUUUUACCACAAAGACUACAACUCCCAUGAUGCUUUGCGGCGUUAGCAUGGAGCCGAAGCGCCCCCUCCUUUGUGUUUUUUCCAGAGUCUGCUGCCGUGUUGGUACAGGAUCUGCUCAGGUGCAGGAUCGGCUCAGGGUCCUUCGAUUGCCGAUGACGUCACAUUACUGCAAAUCUACUCUGCUUUCACACACGUUUUGGAAAGACAUCAGCAGUUUUGUUAAUAAAUUUUUGUGUGUUAACACCUAAAUGUUUUCUUUAUAAUUGUAAUUUGUUAAUAAAACACCAUAUUAUCUUUGUUUUGUAAAGAAUGUGAAACUGCAUAAAACCAACAUCGGACUGACAAGAAAUAGAACAGUACUUAUAUGUGAAGCCAUAUCUGUUUGUAUUAAUGUGGAGUUCGUCUAUAUAUUUCCUUAGUUGUUAUCUAAAUACAUUCUUUGACUCCAAAUAUUGCUUGGUGUCUUUCAAUAAAGUUCUUAUAUUUUAUUUGCCCCAUUUCAUCAACAUCAAGAGCUUUUGAGGGUCACCGUUUAUCAUUUGCUUAUAUUUCACAUUUCCUUUAGAAAUUCAAACACAUUUUCUCCAAAAAGUGUUGAUUUUUGGACUACAGGACUACAACCACUAACACUACGACUGCAAAUUUGUUCUGACCAAUCAAAACCAUAACGUGAUAACGUAACUUCCGUAAGCUUCAUGUUCAGCCAAUCAACUACUUUGACGUCAUUGGCAGUCGAAGGACCCCGAGCAGAUCAUGCAUCUGAGCAGAUCCUGUACCGACACCGGUGUCUGCAGCUCCACUGUCUCGGACAAACUAAACACUCCUCUCACUCAGCGCCGAGCUUACUCAGCUAUUUGCCAAUGUUGAAGCCCAGAAACGGAGAUUUUAACCGCUCAGUAAUGUGUUCACGACUGAAAGAGAAAGUUUUCCAACUAACUUCCAGACAGAGCUGAUAUAACUCCAACAAGCAGUGACAUGGUCAAAUCAGCAUGUCUCUGUGGCUGCUGUAGUUUUUAUUUUUCCUCCCCCGACACACAACAACGUGGUCAAGCUGCUCAGACAUGUUCAGCAGCACAAACCUAUGUGAGCACCUGUUGUCAUCUAAUGUUGUCAUUAUUAUGACGAAGAUGAACAAAACAACAGGAGUCUCCUCCUCAGCUCAAAUCAGCCCCAUGAUCAGAGCCGGAUUAAAUAAAUGGACUACAAUAGGCAGGCUGCAUUUUAACAUCCAUCGAUGUUAUUUAAUGAAUUGAAAUCUGAAACUUACCAAAGUUAUUAAUAAAAGUUCAUUCACAUUUUACAUAGCCUAGUUUUUGGUUACAAAUUGGUUGUUUGUAUGCCAAAAUAAGUCAUGUGUUGUAUGUUAAACACUCUAUCAGACUAUUUUUUUAUAUUAAUCAUUUAUAUGUCAUUACACAGCUGUAUUAAAUGCUAAUAAAUUAUCCUCAUCUUAUCGAUUGGGAGUGCCAUUAUCAAGGCGGUACCAGUAAAUAACC
Molecule: non-coding RNA, 12642 nt
Organism: Nothobranchius furzeri (turquoise killifish)
Lineage: Eukaryota; Metazoa; Chordata; Actinopteri; Cyprinodontiformes; Nothobranchiidae
Source: RefSeq, a predicted model, not a curated record